GCGAGUCGAAUGUAGCAAUACAUGGCGAACUGCUCAGUAACACGUGGACAACCUGCCCUUAGGACGGGGAUAAACCCGGGAAACUGGGUAUAAUACCCGAUAGGUCUCGAUUGCUGGAAUGCAUCGAGAUUUAAAGCUCCGGCGCCUAAGGAUGGGUCUGCGGCCUAUCAGGUAGUAGUGGGUGUAGCGUACCUACUAGCCUACGACGGGUACGGGUUGUGAGAGCAAGAGCCCGGAGAUGGAUUCUGAGACACGAAUCCAGGCCCUACGGGGUGCAGCAGGCGCGAAAACUUUACAAUGCUGGCAACAGCGAUAAGGGAACCUCGAGUGCCAGGUUACAAAUCUGGCUGUCGAGAUGCCUAAAAAGCAUUUCAUAGCAAGGGCCGGGCAAGACCGGUGCCAGCCGCCGCGGUAACACCGGCGGCUCGAGUGGUAACCGUUAUUAUUGGGUCUAAAGGGUCUGUAGCCGGCCGGAUAAGUCUCUUGAGAAAUCUGGCAGCUUAACUGUCAGGCUUUCAGGAGAUACUGUCUGGCUCGAGGCCGGGAGAGGUGAGAGGUACUUCAGGGGUAGGGGUGAAAUCUUGUAAUCCUUGAAGGACCACCAGUGGCGAAGGCGUCUCACCAGAACGGACCUGACGGCAAGGGACGAAAGCUAGGGGCACGAACCGGAUUAGAUACCCGGGUAGUCCUAGCCGUAAACGAUACUCGCUAGGUGUCGGCCACGGUGCGACCGUUGUCGGUGCCGUAGGGAAGCCGUGAAGCGAGCCACCUGGGAAGUACGGCCGCAAGGCUGAAACUUAAAGGAAUUGGCGGGGGAGCACCACAACGGGUGGAGCUUGC
This 840-nucleotide ribosomal RNA is filed under the name uncultured archaeon. Its description in RNAcentral is "bacterial SSU rRNA". It matches the Rfam family "Archaeal small subunit ribosomal RNA", at positions 53 to 898 of the family's 1478-position model. The record is from RNAcentral.